Molecule: ribosomal RNA, 270 nt
Filed under: uncultured bacterium
Lineage: Bacteria
Description: partial 16S ribosomal RNA
Rfam family: Bacterial small subunit ribosomal RNA
Source: RNAcentral
UACGGAGGGUGCGAGCGUUAAUCGGAAUUACUGGGCGUAAAGGGCGCGUAGGCGGUGAAGUCAGUCGGGUGUGAAAGCCCCGGGCUCAACCUGGGAACUGCAUCCGAUACUGCUUCGCUAGAGUAUGGUAGAGGGAAGCGGAAUUCCGGGUGUAGCGGUGAAAUGCGUAGAUAUCCGGAGGAACACCAGUGGCGAAGGCGGCUCACUGGCUCGGUACUGACGCUGAGGUGCGAAAGCGUGGGGAGCAAACAGGAUUAGAAACCCUGUAGU